RNAcentral lists this ribosomal RNA (401 nucleotides) under Enterococcus faecalis. Its description in RNAcentral is "bacterial SSU rRNA". It matches the Rfam family "Bacterial small subunit ribosomal RNA", at positions 192 to 580 of the family's 1533-position model. The record is from RNAcentral. Lineage: Bacteria; Bacillati; Bacillota; Bacilli; Lactobacillales; Enterococcaceae.
GUGUAGGGUUGAAAGAUGGUUUCGGCUAUCACUUUAGGAUGGACCCGCGGUGCAUUAGUUAGUUGGUGAGGUAAAGGCUCACCAAGACCGUGAUGCAUAGCCGACCUGAGAGGGUAAUCGGCCACACUGGGACUGAGACACGGCCCAGACUCCUACGGGAGGCAGCAGUAGGGAAUCUUCCACAAUGGACGAAAGUCUGAUGGAGCAACGCCGCGUGAGUGAAGAAGGUUUUCGGAUCGUAAAACUCUGUUGUUGGAGAAGAAUGUAUCUGAUAGUAACUGAUCAGGUAGUGACGGUAUCCAACCAGAAAGCCACGGCUAACUACGUGCCAGCAGCCGCGGUAAUACGUAGGUGGCAAGCGUUGUCCGGAUUUAUUGGGCGUAAAGCGAGCGCAGGCGGUU